AACGAACGCUGGCGGCAUGCCUAACACAUGCAAGUCGAACGAGACCUUCGGGUCUAGUGGCGCACGGGUGCGUAACGCGUGGGAAUCUGCCCUUGGGUUCGGAAUAACAGUGAGAAAUUACUGCUAAUACCGGAUGAUGUCUUCGGACCAAAGAUUUAUCGCCCAGGGAUGAGCCCGCGUAGGAUUAGCUAGUUGGUGGGGUAAUGGCCUACCAAGGCGACGAUCCUUAGCUGGUCUGAGAGGAUGAUCAGCCACACUGGGACAGAGACACGGCCCAGACUCCUACGGGAGGCAGCAGUGGGGAAUAUUGGACAAUGGGCGCAAGCCUGAUCCAGCAAUGCCGCGUGAGUGAUGAAGGCCUUAGGGUUGUAAAUCUCUUUUACCCGGGAUGAUAAUGACAGUACUGGGAGAAUAAGCUCCGGCUAACUCCGUG
This 433-nucleotide ribosomal RNA is filed under the name uncultured bacterium. RNAcentral describes it as "partial 16S ribosomal RNA". It matches the Rfam family "Bacterial small subunit ribosomal RNA", at positions 29 to 507 of the family's 1533-position model. The record is from RNAcentral.